GCCAGUGUAGUUCAACGGUAGAACGAGGGACUCAUAAACCCUAGACCGAGGUUCGACUCCUCGCGCCGGCA
Molecule: transfer RNA, 71 nt
Filed under: Candidatus Berkelbacteria bacterium CG_4_10_14_0_8_um_filter_39_42
Lineage: Bacteria; Candidatus Berkelbacteria
Also listed under: 3 other names
Description: tRNA-Met
Rfam family: tRNA
About the family: Transfer RNA (tRNA) molecules are approximately 80 nucleotides in length. Their secondary structure includes four short double-helical elements and three loops (D, anti-codon, and T loops).
Source: RNAcentral